RNAcentral lists this ribosomal RNA (264 nucleotides) under uncultured bacterium. RNAcentral describes it as "partial 16S ribosomal RNA". It matches the Rfam family "Bacterial small subunit ribosomal RNA", at positions 89 to 354 of the family's 1533-position model. The record is from RNAcentral.
UGGCGACCGGCGCACGGGUGAGUAACACGUAUCCAACCUGCCGAUGACUCGGGGAUAGCCUUUCGAAAGAAAGAUUAAUACCCGAUGGCAUAGUUCUUCCGCAUGGUAGAACUAUUAAAGAAUUUCGGUCAUCGAUGGGGAUGCGUUCCAUUAGCUUAUUGGCGGGGUAACGGCCCACCAAGGCAUCGAUGGAUAGGGGUUCUGAGAGGAAGGUCCCCCACAUUGGAACUGAGACACGGUCCAAACUCCUACGGGAGGCAGCAG